UUCGAUUGGUGUACCUCUGAUUGGAGUAUAUAGGAAUGACGAGAGGUUAGCCAACACUAUCUUGAAUAUUCCCAACACACACUGCUUUCAGAUUAAUCAGUUAGACCUCGUCAUUACAAAAAGUACAAACAACAAAGCCUUCCGACUACUUUCACCAAAUUAUUUAAUUAACCUGAAAUAUGAGUUCGGCAGUUAAAUUGGUUCUUCUGUUUGUUUUGGCUCUAGUUUUACAAGUGGCUUUAACUUCACCAUCAUCAGAAAGAAGCAGAAAUGAAUAUGAAUUGGCAGCCAAAUCACAGGAAUUGUCACGUGAAUUGGAAUUAGCCAAUCGAUUGUUACAUCGGCUUAUGGACGUGGCUUACGAAACAGCAAAAGAUUUUGGUGCCAAGGAAGACGAUCUGAAAAACAUAAAACAGAAACGAAAUAUUAUUACGGCUUGUUAUUUCCAGGCCAUCACCUGUUAUUAGAAGAACUCAUUUUAAAAAGUGCUCAUCGUGAACUUUUUUUAUUUUAUUCUGUUUUACUUUUACCGGGAAUUGUACGAUAAUUGAGUUAUAAAAUAUUCGCUCACCAUAACCUUUUUUUUAAUUUUACGUUGUUUUACUUUAAUCUGAUUAAAACACAGAUCCUAUUUCGUUUCGUUUUUUAUAGUUCAAAAUUUCGUGUUUGCUUGUCUCCACAACACUAGGAUCUGGAAGAGUUGUUAUAUAACAGGUGUUCUAGUUGAUGUGAGGAAUUGGCCACAGAACUGUGAGUAAACCCCUAGAAACGUCAACGCUGAUUGAUUAAUCAAUGUCUGGCGUCAUAGGGUGAAAAGCCGCUCGUAUGACCCCUGACGCGACCUCCCAGUACAACUGGUCAUAUCUUCAUGUAGUGUAGGUCAUCGAAAGUAUUAAAAAAAAAACGAAACGAAAUAUAGAUCUCUAUUUUAAUCAGAUUUGUUUUACUUAUACUGAGAAGUGUACCACAUUUGAAUUUUGAAAUAUGUUAAAUUUCGUUCCAGAAGCAAGCGUGGGUUAAUCGGCUUAUACUUUUUAAGAAAGCAUUAUCCGUAUCCCGAACAUCGAAUUAUUGUCUUUAUAUAGUUAUAAUUCAGAAGCAAAAACAUAUCUAAAUUGCAAUAUUUCCUAUUAUACAAUAAAGCCAACAGGGAUUAUUUCCGCUAUUGUUUCAUGUUGCAGUGAUUCAACCAUAUAUUUGAUUUAAUGGCAGGAGUUUUACGGUCUAUAAAAUUAAAGGCCUUUUAUAUCAUUAAGCAUUGACAUGUUGUUUAGUGCUAAUAAAUCGAAUAUUGCUAUAAAUAUCACAGAAACAAUAUGUUUAUUUCUUCAAAUAUUGUAUUGAUUAUGCAUUUAUAAUAAAUAUGGGAAUCUAGAAA
Molecule: long non-coding RNA, 1378 nt
Organism: Patella vulgata (common limpet)
Lineage: Eukaryota; Metazoa; Mollusca; Gastropoda; Patellidae
Exons: 2
Source: RefSeq, a predicted model, not a curated record